ACUACGGGUGGCAGCAGUGGGGAAUAUUGCACAAUGGGGGAAACCCUGAUGCAGCGACGCCGCGUGAGUGAAGAAGUAUUUCGGUAUGUAAAGCUCUAUCAGCAGGGAAGAAGCAAGACGGUACCUGACUAAGAAGCCCCGGCUAACUACGUGCCAGCAGCCGCGGUAAUACGUAGGGGGCAAGCGUUAUCCGGAUUUACUGGGUGUAAAGGGAGCGUAGACGGUAUGGCAAGUCUGAAGUGAAAGCCCAGGGCUUAACCCUGGGACUGCUUUGGAAACUGUUAGACUAGAGUGCUGGAGAGGUAAGUGGAAUUCCUAGUGUAGCGGUGAAAUGCGUAGAUAUUAGGAGGAACACCAGUGGCGAAGGCGGCUUACUGGACAGUAACUGACGUUGAGGCUCGAAAGCGUGGGGAGCAAACAGGAUUAGAUACCCGUGUAGUC
RNAcentral lists this ribosomal RNA (441 nucleotides) under uncultured bacterium. Its description in RNAcentral is "partial 16S ribosomal RNA". It matches the Rfam family "Bacterial small subunit ribosomal RNA", at positions 338 to 795 of the family's 1533-position model. The record is from RNAcentral.